RNAcentral lists this unclassified non-coding RNA (253 nucleotides) under uncultured Gammaproteobacteria bacterium. RNAcentral describes it as "contains 16S-23S intergenic spacer region". It matches the Rfam family "Bacterial small subunit ribosomal RNA", at positions 524 to 776 of the family's 1533-position model. Lineage: Bacteria; Pseudomonadati; Pseudomonadota; Gammaproteobacteria. The record is from RNAcentral.
UACGUAGGGUGCAAGCGUUAAUCGGAAUUACUGGGCGUAAAGCGUGCGCAGGCGGUUUUGUAAGUCUGACGUGAAAGCCCCGGGCUCAACCUGGGAAUUGCGUUGGAGACUGCAAGGCUUGAAUCUGGCAGAGGGGGGUAGAAUUUCCGGUGUAGCGGUGAAAUGCGUAGAGAUCGGAAGGAAUACCAGUGGCGAAGGCAGCCAUCUGGCCUAAUACUGACGCUGAGGUACGAAAGCAUGGGGAGCAAACAGG